Portunus trituberculatus (swimming crab) is the source of this 652-nucleotide long non-coding RNA. RefSeq lists it as uncharacterized. The transcript has 2 exons. NCBI's taxonomy places the organism in Eukaryota, Metazoa, Arthropoda, Malacostraca, Decapoda, Portunidae. The record is from RefSeq and is a predicted model, not a curated record.
CUCUCCCUCCCACCUCCCCUAUCACGCCUUCCCUGCCAUCUCCGCCUACGUACUCCCAUCAUCGACCUGCUGCUGCUGAGGAGCCGUGAUGGUUAUCUUCUUGACCUACAUGAAAGUAAAGCCAGGCAAAAGGAAUGGAAAGAAAUGAUGAGCCAGUUCAAUAUUGUACUUCUUUCCGUUUCUCAGCAUGCCUCCAUCCCCACCUAGAGUAAUAUCCCACCGAACACCGACUUGUGCUACUCAUCUAUUCAUUUUUGCAGGUGUAAGUCUCUCAUGGGGUUUCGUCUGGAUAUCUCAACUUGGCUGACGAGCUUCAAGAUGUCCACCAUCAGGGUCAGCAGGAGUUCCUGUGGCACUUGAGAUGGCCCUCUGCCUAGGUGGGGCCAAUGAGUAAUCCUGCCAAGCAUUGAGGCCCGUCAGGACGCCACCUCCCUCCACAUGCCGAAGCUUGUGGAGAUGAGACAGCUAGACCUGCAAAUGCUGUUCAAGCAAAACUAAUAUUCACAGGUCAUAUUGGAUGUGUGAAGAAUAUAAGGUAGCAUUGUGUCUUUCUGAAACAAGGAACUGCUUUUGUUUGUACUAUAAAGUAGAUUUAGUGUUAUGUAUAUUUGUAAGCAAUCAAAUAUGUAAUGAUUUUUUGUAAGCAAACAAA